AACGCACAUUGCGCUCCCUGGUAUUCCGGAGAGCAUGCCUGUUUGAGAAUCAGUAAAAUCUUCAACUUCUAUGUUUGAUGGCUUUCGGGCCAAAAAACAUAAAAGGUGAGAUCUGGGUCGUUUGCCUUUGCGGCAAUGACUUUAAUUGCAACGUCUCAGAACCAAUGACUGAAAUGUCUUGGGCAAACGCAUGAAUGAGGCAACUCACAAGUACGUCUGUUCCUUUUGACAGGGAUGUUUUGGUGCUGAGACUCAACUGAUUAACCAAAGUUGGGUUGCGGUAGCAGCUUUUCUUUGAACACUUGGUCUCAAAUCAGGUAGGAAAACCCGCUGAACUUAA
This 340-nucleotide unclassified non-coding RNA is filed under the name uncultured Rhizophlyctis. RNAcentral's name for it is "sequence contains ITS2". The record is from RNAcentral. Lineage: Eukaryota; Fungi; Chytridiomycota; Chytridiomycetes; Spizellomycetales; Spizellomycetaceae.